Lethenteron reissneri (Far Eastern brook lamprey) is the source of this 1416-nucleotide long non-coding RNA. RefSeq lists it as uncharacterized. NCBI's taxonomy places the organism in Eukaryota, Metazoa, Chordata, Hyperoartia, Petromyzontiformes, Petromyzontidae. The record is from RefSeq and is a predicted model, not a curated record.
UUCCCUGCAAGACUGUGCCGCCACGGACCUCAAAGUGGAGGCAGCGUGGACCGGCUUUGCAAUGUGGGACAGGCCUUGGCACUACUCUCCCAAGCCGGCUCGGAGCCCUGAAGGGCAAUUCCUGAGACGCAGCUGCAAAUGAAGAGACCAUCUCGGGCCGCCCCGGCGUGGCGGAAUGUUCGGGAUUGGAGACGAGCGUUGAAACGUCGCGGGUCGCCCUCUCCUCGUCGUGCACAUCCAGGAGCCGAACCGCUGGGGCAAGUGCUGUUCAUGGGCACCUACGAAGGCCAACAAAGCGCACAAAGGGGAGGGGUGGCCAACACCACGCCCGGCCGCCUUUGUCUCCCAACUGGCGAUGUUUACACAUCACACCGGGUACCCAUUUUAGGCUGAGACGGCCGGUUCAGAUGUGUGUCACCUGUGAGCGGGCAUCGAACUCAGGUAACAGUGUUCGUAGCGUAGUGCUCUAACCACUACACCAAUGCCCCCCACAAACUCUCUCUCUAUCUCACUCACGCACACACACGAAAUGGAGGACUCACCGAGUGGUCAGUUGGCAAGGAGUUCAAAGGUCGAUUACUGCAGCCACCCGGUCACUUAUGAGGCGUAUUGCCAAGAACAAGCCGCUUGCAGUUAAACUGACGUUAAAGACCCUUAACAACCACAGCAUUUAGCUAUCACACACACACACCUUGCCUCCAAAUUGAGUCUGUAACUAUGUGCCCACCGUCCUUGUAUGCACGUUGAACUUCUUCUACGCCGUACCUAGCCAACCGUGCUAAUUGGAUGAAGGCCUCCCCCACACCGUGUCAGUCAUGAAGGAUUGUUUGACCAUACUUCACCAUGCCGGGCAGUGGUGCUGAAGGAGAGAGGAGCAGAGAGGAGAUUUUACAGGAUCAGUUUGCACAUUGCUUUGACAUCGGUGUUAACUCUGACUGGGAAUAAGAAUCAUAAAUGAAAUAAAAAUCUGCGUUGCAUUAUUUGCUAAAUUUGUGAGCAUUUUGUGCAAAUCGAAUAAUGAAAAUGCAUAAUCAGAUGCAUAUUUUAGAAGAAAACGAAUGUCACUAGAAUUGCAUUUGCACUGCACGGCCAAAAUACUGUAUCUGCGUUUGUUUAGUGAAAUGAUGUAAAAUCCUUAUCUCUAUUUACAGUUUUUUUUUAAACAUGAGACUUCAAAGAUCAGAAGCGUUUGUUAUGCCAACUCGACAUUAAACUCUCUGAUCCUGCUAGAAUUUGCUUAUUCAAGCCUGACAUUCAAACAAUGGAUCUUUUACAUGUCAAUGACUGUACAAACAAGGGCCCAUUUAGGGUUGUUUAUCAGUCUACUCGACAUUUUUUGAGUGAUUUACUUGCAAGGUAGGAAGUUCAUCGCAAAUCUGUGCGUACUGAUUUCUUUAUUUACCUGCUCCUUUAUUU